UAACACCACGCCAAAGAACAAUCCCAACCAUGACAUCAAUAGCAAAACAAAAUGCAUAGAAAUAAGAGAAAAAUUCAGAUGCAUGAAGGCUUAUUGUUUUUAAAUGUGUUUUUUCCAUGUUCACCUGU
This 128-nucleotide non-coding RNA is filed under the name Ditylum brightwellii. The record is from RNAcentral. Lineage: Eukaryota; Bacillariophyta; Thalassiosirophyceae; Lithodesmiales; Lithodesmiaceae.